UACGUAGGGUGCGAGCGUUAAUCGGAAUUACUGGGCGUAAAGCGUGCGCAGGCGGUUUUGUAAGCCAGGUGUGAAAUCCCCGGGCUCAACCUGGGAACUGCAUUUGUGACUGCAAGGCUGGAGUGCGGCAGAGGGGGAUGGAAUUCCGCGUGUAGGCAGUGAAAUGCGUAGAUAUGCGGAGGAACACCGAUGGCGAAGGCAAUCCCCUGGGCCUGCACUGACGCUCAGUGCACGAAAGCGUGGGGAGCAAACAGG
Molecule: ribosomal RNA, 255 nt
Filed under: uncultured bacterium
Lineage: Bacteria
Description: partial 16S ribosomal RNA
Rfam family: Bacterial small subunit ribosomal RNA
Source: RNAcentral